GGUUGCGAUCAUACCAGCACUAAUGCACCGGAUCCCAUCAGAACUCUGCAGUUAAGCGUGCUUGGGCGAGAGUAGUACUAGGAUGGGUGACCUCCUGGGAAGUCCUCGUGUUGCAACCC
RNAcentral lists this ribosomal RNA (119 nucleotides) under Helianthus annuus (common sunflower). The record is from RNAcentral. Lineage: Eukaryota; Viridiplantae; Streptophyta; Magnoliopsida; Asterales; Asteraceae.